AAACACCGGUUCUCGUCCGAUCACCGAAGUUAAGCAACGUCGGGCGUGGUCAGUACUUGGAUGGGUGACCGCCUGGGAAC
Molecule: ribosomal RNA, 80 nt
Filed under: Ephestia kuehniella (Mediterranean flour moth)
Lineage: Eukaryota; Metazoa; Arthropoda; Insecta; Lepidoptera; Pyralidae
Source: RNAcentral